Molecule: ribosomal RNA, 2909 nt
Filed under: Escherichia coli
Lineage: Bacteria; Pseudomonadati; Pseudomonadota; Gammaproteobacteria; Enterobacterales; Enterobacteriaceae
Description: partial 23S ribosomal RNA
Rfam family: Bacterial large subunit ribosomal RNA
Source: RNAcentral
GGGUUGUGAGGUUAAGCGACUAAGCGUACACGGUGGAUGCCCUGGCAGUCAGAGGCGAUGAAGGACGUGCUAAUCUGCGAUAAGCGUCGGUGAGGUGAUAUGAACCGUUAUAACCGGCGAUUUCCGAAUGGGGAAACCCAGUGUGUUUCGACACACUAUCAUUAACUGAAUCCAUAGGUUAAUGAGGCGAACCGGGGGAACUGAAACAUCUAAGUACCCCGAGGAAAAGAAAUCAACCGAGAUUCCCCCAGUAGCGGCGAGCGAACGGGGAGGAGCCCAGAGCCUGAAUCAGUGUGUGUGUUAGUGGAAGCGUCUGGAAAGGCGUGCGAUACAGGGUGACAGCCCCGUACACAAAAAUGCACAUAUUGUGAGCUCGAUGAGUAGGGCGGGACACGUGGUAUCCUGUCUGAAUAUGGGGGGACCAUCCUCCAAGGCUAAAUACUCCUGACUGACCGAUAGUGAACCAGUACCGUGAGGGAAAGGCGAAAAGAACCCCGGCGAGGGGAGUGAAAAAGAACCUGAAACCGUGUACGUACAAGCAGUGGGAGCCUCUUAAUGGGGUGACUGCGUACCUUUUGUAUAAUGGGUCAGCGACUUAUAUUCUGUAGCAAGGUUAACCGAAUAGGGGAGCCGAAGGGAAACCGAGUCUUAACUGGGCGUUAAGUUGCAGGGUAUAGACCCGAAACCCGGUGAUCUAGCCAUGGGCAGGUUGAAGGUUGGGUAACACUAACUGGAGGACCGAACCGACUAAUGUUGAAAAAUUAGCGGAUGACUUGUGGCUGGGGGUGAAAGGCCAAUCAAACCGGGAGAUAGCUGGUUCUCCCCGAAAGCUAUUUAGGUAGCGCCUCGUGAAUUCAUCUCCGGGGGUAGAGCACUGUUUCGGCAAGGGGGUCAUCCCGACUUACCAACCCGAUGCAAACUGCGAAUACCGGAGAAUGUUAUCACGGGAGACACACGGCGGGUGCUAACGUCCGUCGUGAAGAGGGAAACAACCCAGACCGCCAGCUAAGGUCCCAAAGUCAUGGUUAAGUGGGAAACGAUGUGGGAAGGCCCAGACAGCCAGGAUGUUGGCUUAGAAGCAGCCAUCAUUUAAAGAAAGCGUAAUAGCUCACUGGUCGAGUCGGCCUGCGCGGAAGAUGUAACGGGGCUAAACCAUGCACCGAAGCUGCGGCAGCGACACUAUGUGUUGUUGGGUAGGGGAGCGUUCUGUAAGCCUGUGAAGGUGGCCUGUGAGGGUUGCUGGAGGUAUCAGAAGUGCGAAUGCUGACAUAAGUAACGAUAAAGCGGGUGAAAAGCCCGCUCGCCGGAAGACCAAGGGUUCCUGUCCAACGUUAAUCGGGGCAGGGUGAGUCGACCCCUAAGGCGAGGCCGAAAGGCGUAGUCGAUGGGAAACAGGUUAAUAUUCCUGUACUUGGUGUUACUGCGAAGGGGGGACGGAGAAGGCUAUGUUGGCCGGGCGACGGUUGUCCCGGUUUAAGCGUGUAGGCUGGUUUUCCAGGCAAAUCCGGAAAACCAAGGCUGAGGCGUGAUGACGAGGCACUACGGUGCUGAAGUNNNNNNNNNNNNNNNNNNNNNNNNNNNNNNNNNNNNNNNNNNNNNNNNNNNNNNNNNNNNNNNNNNNNNNNNNNNNNNNNNNNNNNNNNNNNNNNNNNCGACAAAUGCCCUGCUUCCAGGAAAAGCCUCUAAGCAUCAGGUAACAUCAAAUCGUACCCCAAACCGACACAGGUGGUCAGGUAGAGAAUACCAAGGCGCUUGAGAGAACUCGGGUGAAGGAACUAGGCAAAAUGGUGCCGUAACUUCGGGAGAAGGCACGCUGAUAUGUAGGUGAAGCGACUUGCUCGUGGAGCUGAAAUCAGUCGAAGAUACCAGCUGGCUGCAACUGUUUAUUAAAAACACAGCACUGUGCAAACACGAAAGUGGACGUAUACGGUGUGACGCCUGCCCGGUGCCGGAAGGUUAAUUGAUGGGGUUAGCGGUAACGCGAAGCUCUUGAUCGAAGCCCCGGUAAACGGCGGCCGUAACUAUAACGGUCCUAAGGUAGCGAAAUUCCUUGUCGGGUAAGUUCCGACCUGCACGAAUGGCGUAAUGAUGGCCAGGCUGUCUCCACCCGAGACUCAGUGAAAUUGAACUCGCUGUGAAGAUGCAGUGUACCCGCGGCAAGACGGAAAGACCCCGUGAACCUUUACUAUAGCUUGACACUGAACAUUGAGCCUUGAUGUGUAGGAUAGGUGGGAGGCUUUGAAGUGUGGACGCCAGUCUGCAUGGAGCCGACCUUGAAAUACCACCCUUUAAUGUUUGAUGUUCUAACGUUGGCCCGUAAUCCGGGUUGCGGACAGUGUCUGGUGGGUAGUUUGACUGGGGCGGUCUCCUCCUAAAGAGUAACGGAGGAGCACGAAGGUUGGCUAAUCCUGGUCGGACAUCAGGAGGUUAGUGCAAUGGCAUAAGCCAGCUUGACUGCGAGCGUGACGGCGCGAGCAGGUGCGAAAGCAGGUCAUAGUGAUCCGGUGGUUCUGAAUGGAAGGGCCAUCGCUCAACGGAUAAAAGGUACUCCGGGGAUAACAGGCUGAUACCGCCCAAGAGUUCAUAUCGACGGCGGUGUUUGGCACCUCGAUGUCGGCUCAUCACAUCCUGGGGCUGAAGUAGGUCCCAAGGGUAUGGCUGUUCGCCAUUUAAAGUGGUACGCGAGCUGGGUUUAGAACGUCGUGAGACAGUUCGGUCCCUAUCUGCCGUGGGCGCUGGAGAACUGAGGGGGGCUGCUCCUAGUACGAGAGGACCGGAGUGGACGCAUCACUGGUGUUCGGGUUGUCAUGCCAAUGGCACUGCCCGGUAGCUAAAUGCGGAAGAGAUAAGUGCUGAAAGCAUCUAAGCACGAAACUUGCCCCGAGAUGAGUUCUCCCUGACUCCUUGAG